GAAAUACAAAAUAAUUUACAAUUAAAAUUAAAGUAAAAGUGAAUUUCACCAUGGCCGAGGGCUGCCACUACCAAAAUAUUCUUUAUAAAUUUUUUUUAAUUAAAGUAAAAAAUAAAAAUAAAUUAAAAUGAAAAAUAAAAUAAAUUAAAAUGAAAAAUAAAAGUAAAUUAAAAUGAAAUACAAAAUACUGAUUUACAAUUAAAAUUACAAAGUAAAAGUGAAUUUCACCAUGGCCGAGGGCUGCCACUACCAUAAUGCACAGCGACCCGAGAGCUGACUCAUUAAAAUUCCUUUGUUGUGACAAAAUGGCGGGCAAUUCUGAUAUCAGAGAAGCACCUUGGAAAGAUGAUGAAAAUCUUAAAGAAGCUUUGUCAAAUUAUGUUCAGCAAGGAUUAAAAAGAAGUGAGGUACUAGACUUUGUUACUCGCGACUUUCCUCAAUAUACGUGGAGUCUCAGGUCGCUCGAUAGACGUCUUCGCCAUUUCGAGUUGUUUUAUAAUGACCAAAAUAUUGGAGUCUCGGAUGUAAUCGAAGCGGUGCAAACUGAAUUGAACGGCCCGGGUAUGCUUUUAGGUUACAGGGCCAUGCACAAAAAAAUCAGGAUAGAACAUGGUCUUAAUGUUACAAGGGAUAAAGUCUAUGAUGUGAUGACCGAGCUUGACCCAGAGCGACUUGAAAUCAGAGGUGGCGUUGGUGGCAAGAAGAAAAGAAAGAAGGGGCAUUUCACGACAAAGGGAACGAAUUGGAUGCAUGCACUUGAUGGUCAUGAUAAGCUGAUGGGAUAUCAAAAUUCCAAUUUUCCAUUGGCUAUCUAUGGAUGUAUUGACACUGCCAGUAGAAAGCUGUUAUGGUUAAGAGUUUGGAUAUCCAAUUCUGAACCAAAAUUAAUUGGGAAGUGGUACCUUGAAUAUCUCUAUGAAACGAGAAUAAUAUCAGCCAUGCUGCGAGUGGACAAGGGUACUGAGACUGGUGUCAUGGCAACCACACAUGCUUUCUUACGAAGUAAACAUGGAAAUAUGGAUCCACAUGAAACUGUUGUCUAAUGUCUAUGGCCCUUCCACCUCUAAUCAGGUAAAUUUUCUAUUUAAUUGCUAAAAUUUAUUUUUUAUUUCAUUUUCUACAUAUUUUGUAUAUUUUUUAUUUCAUUUACAUACUCAGCAGCAAUCAUGCAAGCCUUUAAUAUUGAUUAUAGACCCAAUGUACUUAAUCACGGACAAGAUUUAAUUUCAAUCCAAUUUUUAUUCAUAUCAUUAGCACUGAUGAAGAUCCGGGCUUACGGAUCGAAAGCUUUGCAGUAAUAAAUUUACGUGGUGUUUCCACAAACAAUAGUAUUAUAUGUUUAAUCGCCAUGCAAACCUACAAAGAACUUAUUACUCACCUGGGACACCUGUGCCCGGGCUCUGUAGAGCGUCUUGUUAAGGUUUAAUUUUAUGCUGCUUUAUUACUUUAAGAUUGAAAGGUGGUGGAAGGAGUUACAUGAAAGAAUGGAAAAGUAUUUCAAAGGUCAUUUGAGAUUGCUUAAACAUCAACGUC
Non-coding RNA from Paramuricea clavata, 1533 nucleotides. The record is from the annotation of a GenBank genome assembly. NCBI's taxonomy places the organism in Eukaryota, Metazoa, Cnidaria, Anthozoa, Malacalcyonacea, Plexauridae.